This 74-nucleotide transfer RNA is filed under the name Silurus asotus (Amur catfish). RNAcentral describes it as "tRNA-Lys". It matches the Rfam family "tRNA". From Rfam's summary of the family: Transfer RNA (tRNA) molecules are approximately 80 nucleotides in length. Their secondary structure includes four short double-helical elements and three loops (D, anti-codon, and T loops). RNAcentral also lists the same sequence under 7 other names. The record is from RNAcentral. Lineage: Eukaryota; Metazoa; Chordata; Actinopteri; Siluriformes; Siluridae.
CACUGAGAAGCUAAAUAGGGAUUAGCAUUAGCCUUUUAAGCUAAAGAUUGGUGGCCCCCAACCACCCCCAGUGA